GGGGAUUUAGCUCAGCAGCGGCCUAAGCACCUGCCUUACAAGCAGGCAGUCGUGAGUUCAAUCCCCG
Molecule: transfer RNA, 67 nt
Filed under: Cavia porcellus (domestic guinea pig)
Lineage: Eukaryota; Metazoa; Chordata; Mammalia; Rodentia; Caviidae
Rfam family: tRNA
About the family: Transfer RNA (tRNA) molecules are approximately 80 nucleotides in length. Their secondary structure includes four short double-helical elements and three loops (D, anti-codon, and T loops). Further hydrogen bonds mediate the characteristic L-shaped molecular structure. tRNAs have two regions of fundamental functional importance: the anti-codon, which is responsible for specific mRNA codon recognition, and the 3' end, to which the tRNAs corresponding amino acid is attached (by aminoacyl-tRNA synthetases). tRNAs cope with the degeneracy of the genetic code in two manners: having more than one tRNA (with a specific anti-codon) for a particular amino acid; and 'wobble' base-pairing, i.e. permitting non-standard base-pairing at the 3rd anti-codon position.
Source: Rfam by way of RNAcentral